GCCAUAUUCGUUGUCAUGUGCAUGCUGAAUGGAUCUUUCGCACUUUCUUUCCAAUCCGCGGCUAUCAUCGUCAAGAUAUCACAAAAAUGAUUUAGAUAUCAACAAUAAUCGUGCUGAUCUCACCGUUGAUGGGCCCAGAAAAUAAUCAAUUUAAAAAGUAACAGGCUGUAUGCCAAAGAACUGCUCAAAUUGUCCAUCACAUCCAUCAGUUCAUCGGUGCGAUAGUGCAACACAAUGUAAGCAUACUGACAAAUUUGAGCGACGAUUAACGUCGCAAGCCAGAACAAUCUGCGUAAAACGGAACACGAUACAUCGGGCCAGAUGCCGAAGAUACGAAGAACAAAUUUUAUAGAGAAGCAUAUCGUGUUCGUAGUUGUUAUUUUCAUUAUUGAGAAAAAGAAGAAUCAACGAUUAUAUUUAAUAAAGCCUGAACAUACUCGGCAGGCUCUGCACGUUUCUUUAACCAAGGAGUAUCGUAAAAUGACUCUUUCAAGAUUAAAACACAGAAAAAGCACAUAAGUUGACCGGGAAAACGAUUAAUCAUUAUAUAUUCACUUGGGUAUCAAACAUAAGACUCUCGAUUAUAACUAUAGAUGUAUAAUUAUAAAAUUGUAGGAAGAUAAAAAAAAUUUACUCUCUU
Monomorium pharaonis (pharaoh ant) is the source of this 640-nucleotide long non-coding RNA. RefSeq lists it as uncharacterized. The record is from RefSeq and is a predicted model, not a curated record. The transcript is spliced from 2 exons. Lineage: Eukaryota; Metazoa; Arthropoda; Insecta; Hymenoptera; Formicidae.